CAGGGGUUGUAGUCCAUAGAUAGCUGGCUUCAUUCCUUAGGGCUUGAGGUGAGGCAGGACAUCAUGGUGGAAGAGUGUAAUGGAGGGAGGUGGCUUAAGAUAUCACACUAUGAAGCGGAGAGAGAUUCCACUCAUUAAAUAAAAAUAUGUACCCCAAAGGCAUGGCCCCCAUGCCUGCCUCCUCCAGACACUCCAUGUCUGCCUUCAGUUACCACGACUCCAUUGCGUCACCUCUAAACCUUUCUGCAUUGUCUUAUACAUGAGCUUUUGGGGAACACCUAAUAUCUUAACCAUAACAGAGGAGGAACUGGAAUUUGAGAAUGGGGGCAGCUCUUCUGAGACUGGAGGUAUGACAGGUUAGUGGUAACAGGGAUGGGGAGUUGAGAGAUUUCUGAACUUCCUCCUGAGGAAGGCUGUGGCUCUGGAAAGGAGAGAGCAAGGGAGUCCUCUUGCAGGAGCUGGGGUGAGGCGGGUGAUAGGAU
Molecule: long non-coding RNA, 482 nt
Filed under: Marmota monax (woodchuck)
Lineage: Eukaryota; Metazoa; Chordata; Mammalia; Rodentia; Sciuridae
Source: RNAcentral